GACGAACGCUGGCGGCGUGCCUAAUACAUGCAAGUAGAACGCUGAAGGAGGAGCUUGCUUCUCUGGAUGAGUUGCGAACGGGUGAGUAACGCGUAGGUAACCUGCCUGGUAGCGGGGGAUAACUAUUGGAAACGAUAGCUAAUACCGCAUAACAGUAGAUAUCGCAUGAUAUCUACUUGAAAGGUGCAAUUGCAUCACUACCAGAUGGACCUGCGUUGUAUUAGCUAGUUGGUGAGGUAACGGCUCACCAAGGCGACGAUACAUAGCCGACCUGAGAGGGUGAUCGGCCACACUGGGACUGAGACACGGCCCAGACUCCUACGGUAGGCAGCAGUAGGGAAUCUUCGGCAAUGGACGGAAGUCUGACCGAGCAACGCCGCGUGAGUGAAGAAGGUUUUCGGAUCGUAAAGCUCUGUUGUAAGAGAAGAACGAGUGUGAGAGUGGAAAGUUCACACUGUGACGGUAUCUUACCAGAAAGGGACGGCUAACUACGUG
Molecule: ribosomal RNA, 495 nt
Filed under: uncultured bacterium
Lineage: Bacteria
Description: partial 16S ribosomal RNA
Rfam family: Bacterial small subunit ribosomal RNA
Source: RNAcentral